Molecule: ribosomal RNA, 429 nt
Filed under: Bacteroidota bacterium
Lineage: Bacteria; Pseudomonadati; Bacteroidota
Description: Bacteroidetes bacterium partial 16S ribosomal RNA
Rfam family: Bacterial small subunit ribosomal RNA
Source: RNAcentral
UAGGGAAUCUUCGGCAAUGGGGGGAACCCUGACCGAGCAACGCCGCGUGAGUGAAGAAGGUUUUCGGAUCGUAAAGCUCUGUUGUUAAGGAAGAACGAGUGUGAGAAUGGAAAGUUCAUGCUGUGACGGUACUUAACCAGAAAGGGACGGCUAACUACGUGUCAGCAGCCGCGGUAAUACGUAGGUCCCGAGCGUUGUCCGGAUUUAUUGGGCGUAAAGCGAGCGCAGGCGGUUAGAAAAGUCUGAAGUGAAAGGCAGUGGCUCAACCAUUGUAGGCUUUGGAAACUGUUUAACUUGAGUGCAGAAGGGGAGAGUGGAAUUCCAUGUGUAGCGGUGAAAUGCGUAGAUAUAUGGAGGAACACCGGUGGCGAAAGCGGCUCUCUGGUCUGUAACUGACGCUGAGGCUAGAAAGCGUGGGGAGCGAACAGG